This 229-nucleotide ribosomal RNA is filed under the name uncultured bacterium. RNAcentral's name for it is "partial 16S ribosomal RNA". It matches the Rfam family "Bacterial small subunit ribosomal RNA", at positions 104 to 334 of the family's 1533-position model. The record is from RNAcentral.
CGGGGUGAGUAAUGCUUGGGAAUCUAGCUUAUGGAGGGGGGUAGCUACGGGAAACUGUAGCUAAUACCGCGUAAUAUCGAAAGAUUAAAGUGUGGGACCUUCGGGCCACAUGCCAUAAGAUGAGCCCAAGUGGGAUUAGGUAGUUGGUGAGGUAAAGGCUCACCAAGCCGACGAUCUCUAGCUGGUCUGAGAGGAUGACCAGCCACACUGGGACUGAGACACGGCCCAG